GAUGAAGAACGUAGCGAAAUGCGAUACGUAAUGUGAAUUGCAAAUUCAGUGAAUCAUCGAGGCUUUGAACGCACAUUGCGCCCCCUGGUAUUCCGGGGGGCAUGCCUGUCCGAGCGUCAUUGCUGCCCUCAAGCACGGCUUGUGUGUUGGGCCCCGUCCUCCGAUCCCGGGGGACGGGCCCGAAAGGCAGCGGCGGCACCGCGUCCGGUCCUCGAGCGUAUGGGGCUUUGUCACCCGCUCUGUAGGCCCGGCCGGCGCUUGCCGAUCAACCCAAAUUUUUAUCCAGGUUGACCUCGGAUCAGGUAGGGAUACCCGCUGAACUUAAGCAAAUCAAUAAGCGGAGGA
Molecule: unclassified non-coding RNA, 345 nt
Filed under: soil metagenome
Description: partial contains 5.8S ribosomal RNA, internal transcribed spacer 2, and large subunit ribosomal RNA
Rfam family: 5.8S ribosomal RNA (bases 1-119)
Source: RNAcentral